RNAcentral lists this ribosomal RNA (415 nucleotides) under uncultured prokaryote. Its description in RNAcentral is "bacterial SSU rRNA". It matches the Rfam family "Bacterial small subunit ribosomal RNA", at positions 355 to 774 of the family's 1533-position model. The record is from RNAcentral.
UGAGGAAUUUUGCGCAAUGGGGGGAACCCUGACGCAGCAACGCCGCGUGGGUGAUGAAGGCCUUCGGGUCGUAAAGCCCUGUCGGGCGGGAAGAACGUCCCUUCGGGGAAUGACGGUACCGCCAGAGGAAGCACCGGCUAACUCCGUGCCAGCAGCCGCGGUAAUACGGAGGGUGCAAGCGUUAUUCGGAAUUACUGGGCGUAAAGGGCGUGCAGGCGGGAGGGCAAGUCGGAUGUGAAAGCCCGGGGCUUAACCCCGGAAGGGCAUUGGAAACUGCUUUUCUUGAGUUCUGGAGAGGAGGGGGGAAUUCCCGGUGUAGAGGUGAAAUUCGUAGAGAUCGGGAGGAACAUCAGUGGCGAAGGCGCCCUUCUGGACAGCAACUGACGCUGAGACGCGAAAGCGUGGGGAGCAAACA